AAGGAUCAUUACCGAGUUAGGGUUCCUCUCACGGGCCCGAUCUCCCAACCCUGUGUCUAUCACACCUUGUCGUUGCUUCGGCGGACCGGUUCGACCCCGCUGGGGGUCGUGACCGCCGGGGGUGCCCACCUCUGGAGCGCGUCCGCCGAUGGCCCAACCACAACUCUUUGUCUCCAACCGGUCGUCUAAAGAAUUCUUGAUAUCAAUCAAAAACAAAACUUUCAACAACGGAUCUCUUGGUUCUG
RNAcentral lists this unclassified non-coding RNA (245 nucleotides) under uncultured fungus. Its description in RNAcentral is "partial contains 18S rRNA, ITS1, 5.8S rRNA, ITS2 and 28S rRNA". Lineage: Eukaryota; Fungi. The record is from RNAcentral.